AUGCUCUUAUUCCUCCAUUUGGCAGGACUCCCUGGCGCGUGAGGAAGGAAAGCCGAGCAACCCAGCGGCGGAGCCGACGCGGCGGUUUUCUCUUCGGCGGCGGCGACACCGACGCGGCGGGCCUCCUCUCCAGCGGCGGCCCUCCUCUCCUCUCCGAAUGGAGGGGACUGAGGGAGGGAGGAACGGAGAUGUUUGAGCUCGGGGAGGUAGAGAUUCUCCUCUCAUAUCGCUAGGGUUUUUGAUAGAUCGAUGCUAUUGUUUCCCCUUUGGACUAGGUUUUUGGAUGGACUGAUGGGAUCGAUUCGUGAUGAACAACGGCAGGAGGGGACUGAGGAAGGGAGGAAGCGAGAUGUUUGAGCUCGGGGAGCAAAUGGCGAAAACUAUAACCGCUGCUCUGCGAGAGUCUAAGCUCAUAGCCUCGUUUUUCCUUGCUGGUUCGAAUUUUUUUUCUUCAGGUGCUGCUUGUCUUGUUCCUCCCACUGAGAUAAUUUGCGUUGGAUACAAGUUUGGCCGUGAACCUUUCGGGCCAGCGUAUGGCAUUCAAGUUCCGAAAGGUUCUGACGGUUUACCCGAGACUGUUAAUUGGCUUGUUGUGCCUGGGUUGUUUCACAGAGCAAAGACCAGCGCCAUUGUGGUGGGUGCUACAUUGUUGCUGGGCUUGGCAGCAUAUCUUCUUUGAACUAUCUGCUGAACAGGGCAAGUAUUUGUCUUUCGGCCCAACACAUAUUGGACGCGAAUACUGUGACCAAUCAUGGUUGCGAAGGUGGUUGGCCAGAGAAUGUAUUUGACUUCAUCAUCAGAAACGGUGGGGUCAUAUCUGAGAAUGAUUACCCAUACUGUGCUAUCAGAGGUCCCUGCAAGGCUGUUGAGGCUGCGGGAGUUACUAUUGCUAACUGGGCGGCUGUAGAACCGACGGAAGAAGCUGUGAAGUAUGCAGUUGCUUACCAGCCCGUUGUGGCAUCAAUCUACACUGACAGCAAAUUUAUGACUUACCAAAAGGAUUUCCUUAUUGUUCCUAAAAACCAUGGUCCAGUAGACCACUCUGUUCUUCUAAUCGGAUAUGGUAAGUGCCCAUGACAGGGCCAAUGUUGGAUCGGUAUGAAUUCAUUCGAGGAGCCAUGGGGCAUGACAUGUCUCCACUACAACAACAUUUUCUAUAUACCAAGGAAUACGUGUCAUGUGGGGGGAGCCUUUGGAGUGCUGUCCGAUGUUGUUCUUCCCCUGGGAGCUUCUAUGGUUCUUAAGGUUAAAACUCGAAGUGAGAGCUGCCCUUUGUUUCAAGUAGGUGGGCAUACCUGACAGCUGAUGCUUCUGGCGGCUCGUCCCAGUUCACUUUUCUUUUGGUUCCAAAACUACUUGUCCCAUGGAGUUUGAGUUCUGUUUGGAGUCUUGGCUCUGAGCACCUGAUAAACCUGUGAUCUGAUGCUGCACUUAUACCAUCGUGUCUUGACUCUUGAGUCAUGUAUUACAUCCGUCCCAAAUUACGAGAUUUAGCUAGAUACAUUUGUAUCUACACAAAUGAAGACAAAUAAUUUGGGACGGACGGAGUAUAAACAGAAUGAUGUUGGGCAGCGGAAAUUUGUUUUGGCUCUAGGUUUCAUAUGCACUUAAAUCUGGAUCGACUA
Molecule: long non-coding RNA, 1625 nt
Organism: Triticum aestivum (bread wheat)
Lineage: Eukaryota; Viridiplantae; Streptophyta; Magnoliopsida; Poales; Poaceae
Exons: 9
Source: RefSeq, a predicted model, not a curated record